This 481-nucleotide ribosomal RNA is filed under the name uncultured bacterium. Its description in RNAcentral is "partial 16S ribosomal RNA". It matches the Rfam family "Bacterial small subunit ribosomal RNA", at positions 28 to 523 of the family's 1533-position model. The record is from RNAcentral.
GACGAACGCUGGCGGCGUGCUUAACACAUGCAAGUCGAGCGGAAAGGCCACUUCGGUGGUACUCGAGCGGCGAACGGGUGAGUAACACGUGAGUAAUCUGCCCCUGGCUUUGGGAUAGCCACCGGAAGCGGUGAUUAAUACCGGAUACGACCACUUCUCGCAUGGGAUGGUGGUGGAAAGUUUUUUCGGCCAGGGAUGUGCUCGCGGCCUAUCAGCUUGAUGGUGAGGUAAUGGCUCACCAUGGCUUCGACGGGUAGCCGGCCUGAGAGGGUGACCGGUCACACUGGGAAUGGGACACGGCCCAGACUCCUACGGGAGGCAGCAGUGGGGAAUAUUGGACAAUGGGCGGAAGCCUGAUCCAGCAACGCCGCGUGAGGGAUGACGGCCUUCGGGUUGUAAACCUCUUUCAGCAGGGACGAAGCGCAAGUGACGGUACCUGCAGAAGAAGCACCGGCCAACUACGUGCCAGCCGCCGCAGUAA